AAUGAACGUUGGCGGCAUGGAUUAGGCAUGCAAGUCGUACGUGUGUAGCAAUACAUGCGUGGCGGAAGGGACAGUAAUAUGUAGAUAUCAACCCCUCGGCCGGGGAUAACCACGGGAAACUGUGGAUAAUACCCGAUAAUGUUUCCGAACCAAAGGUGUAAUUCCACCGGGGGACGAGUCUGCACCCUAUUAGCUUGUUGGCGAGGUAAUGGCUCACCAAGGCGAUGAUGGGUAGCGGGUGUGAGAGCACGACCCGCGUCACUGGGACUGAGAACUGCCCAGACACCUACGGGUGGCUGCAGUCGAGGAUUUUUGGCAAUGAGCGCAAGCUUGACCAAGCGAUGCCGCGUGCGGGAUGAAGGCCUUCGGGUUGUAAACCGCUGUCAGUGUGGAGGAAAAUUUGGUGUAGAGCCAAGUUUGACUAAUACGCAGAGGAAGUGAGGGCUAAACUCGUGCCAGCCGCCGCCGUAAAAC
RNAcentral lists this ribosomal RNA (474 nucleotides) under uncultured bacterium. RNAcentral's name for it is "bacterial SSU rRNA". It matches the Rfam family "Bacterial small subunit ribosomal RNA", at positions 29 to 526 of the family's 1533-position model. The record is from RNAcentral.